This 75-nucleotide transfer RNA is filed under the name Candidatus Cloacimonadota bacterium. RNAcentral's name for it is "tRNA-Thr". It matches the Rfam family "tRNA". Rfam says of the family: Transfer RNA (tRNA) molecules are approximately 80 nucleotides in length. Their secondary structure includes four short double-helical elements and three loops (D, anti-codon, and T loops). The record is from RNAcentral. Lineage: Bacteria; Pseudomonadati; Candidatus Cloacimonadota.
GCCGAUGUAGCUCAAUGGUAGAGCAAGUGAUUUGUAAUCACUAGGUUGGGGGUUCGAUUCCCUUCAUCGGCUCCA